Molecule: long non-coding RNA, 2120 nt
Organism: Scophthalmus maximus (turbot)
Lineage: Eukaryota; Metazoa; Chordata; Actinopteri; Pleuronectiformes; Scophthalmidae
Exons: 2
Source: RefSeq, a predicted model, not a curated record
GACCGAUUUUCUUCUUCUUCUUCUACUUCUUUUGUUUUAUGGCUGUUGGCAAACAACGCAAUGGCGCAUUACCGCCACCAACUGGUGAGGAGUGUGGAUCACAAUCGCAACAAAACAAAACAAACCUAAACUAAACAAACAAACAAACAAAAAAUGACAUACAAUAUGAUGAGAUUCUCCUUCACACCUCUAUUUCCCUGAGGUUCUGUAUUAAAUGACUAAAACCUUCCUUCUGUGAAUCUUUCUGUAAAUAACCACAAUAUUCAGUUUCAUCUUGAUCCUUCUGAGGUUCUGACUGAGUCGUGUUCUGUACUAUGAUGUGUUCUAUUGUUUCCUCUUGUCCACAAUCGUCACAGUUUCCUGAGUUAUGUUUCCCUAUUUGUGUGAAUACUAUGAUGUCCGGUAUGUCCAAAUCUGAGUCUUGCUAUGAUUGUCUCCUCUUUUCUACUUCCUCUUGUACUUCUCAUCUCCCUUUCCUUUCCUUCUCCCACUGUUUUUGCCAAAGAAUUCUCAAUUGUCUGUUUUAUCAUUCCCCUGAUUUUUGUUGUGCUAAUGUUCACUGUGAUGUCAAUUGGUCUUUUCUUGUUCGCCUGCUUUGGAAUUUUGUCUGCAAUUUAAUUUCCUAUUACACCCAAAUGUGCUGGAACCCAAAGAAAUGUACUGGGACCCAUCAUAUGGAUGUUGCAGUGUUUGUUGUCUUCUGCUUCUUCUUCUGCUGCUUUAUGGCGGAUUGAAAUCCAACAUCUUUAAGGUCCAUGCCGCCACCUACUGUCACCGGAGUCGUGUGUCACCCCAAGCUUCAGAUACUUAAUAAUAAUAAUAAUACAUUUAAUUUAUAGAGCAUAAUAAAAUAAUAAAAUACAUUGAAUAUUCCUGCAGCUUCUUUGAGCUGGCAGCAGAAACAUGAGGUUGUUUAUUUUAUCACCGUCUGUGUAAUAAUGAUGCUCAGCUUCAUAUGAGGAGGAAAACUGGACGAACAAAGAAUUAUAUUUUUUUCAUACAAAUAAACAGAAUGUAAGAGUAUGAAUGAUGAUCACUGCCACCACUAGUAAGUGGUUUCAGCUCACGUCACGUCUCCAAAUAUACAAGAAGCUAAAACACAAAACCAAUAGACAAAAAAUGUUGUGGUUCAGACUUUUAUUCUUUUAUCAUAGGCCGGGCGUCGCAUCGCCACGUCGAAUGUUUCCAGAAGCCUUUGGAUGCAAAAGUCAAAAUCAGAUCCAGUUCAUUGUUUUUCCUUCAGAGGCGGAUCCCCGAGGAUCUUUAUAAGUCUCUGAGGAUCUCCGAGGGUCAUUGAGGAUCUCUGAGGGUCAUUGAGGAUCUCUGAGGGUCAUUAUAGGUCUCUGAGGAUCCCCGAGGGUCAUUGAGGAUCUCUGAGGGUCAUUGAGGAUCUCUGAGGGUCAUUAUAGGUCUCUGAGGAUCCCCGAGGGUCAUUGAGAAUCUUGAGGGUCAUUAUAGGUCUCUAAGGAUCCCCGAGGGUCAUUGAGGAUCCCCGAGGAUCUUUAUAGGUCUCUAAGGAUCCCCGAGGGUCAUUGAGGAUCCCCGAGGAUCUUUAUAGGUCUCUAAGGAUCCCAGAGGGUCAUUGAGGAUCUCUGAGGGUCAUUGAGGAUCCCCGAGGAUCUUUAUAAGUCUCUGAGGAUCUCUGAGGGUCAUUGAGGAUCCCCGAGGAUCUUUAUAGGUCUCUAAGGAUCCCCGAGGGUCAUUGAGGAUCCCCGAGGAUCUUUAUAGGUCUCUAAGGAUCCCCGAGGGUCAUUGAGGAUCUCUGAGGGUCAUUAUAGGUCUCUGAGGAUCCCCGAGGGUCAUUGAGGAUCUCCGAGGGUCAUUGAGGAUCUUCGAGGGUCUCUGAGGAUCCAGGACAAAAGACGUUUGUUGAAAUGAAAGAAUAAAAAGCAAUCGUUCACUCUGAAAAGAGAAUUAAAAACUACUGUCUCAAGCGGUGUGAAAACUGCGACUUCAACGUCCGAACGGAUCCUGAAGAAAGAGGAAGUUGGAAAAUACUGCUGCUGGGGGGGCGGGGGGCUCAUUUUAAACCUCGUUCUGAGUCACAGUGUUUCAUAAAAAGUCUUUAAUCGGACAUCAUCAUCCUCACGAUCUGCAGCAGCAGCUCGGUCGGCCAUUUU